AGGUCCACAGAACCAUCAUCCACUCUGAGAAGGCAGGACACAUUCAGCACUUUCAUCUGCUGCUUGGUGAAUGAAGCAUGCAGGACCUGCGAUGAGAUCUCCAGCCUGUUGGCAAUGUCUGCAGCAGCACGAAGCAUGUCUUCAAAGGCUCUGGACUCCUCUCUGAUCCUGCUCCAUAAGACAAAUGAUCCCAAUCACCAGGUGGAGUGAAGGGAUGGAGGAAAGAUAGACAGAGUUCAUCACCAAUCGCCUGCGUGGUGGCGUUGGUGGACAUUACCGCAGAGUAGAUGUCAAAGCCUGAACCCCAGUCUCCACUUUGGCAGAGUGUUGGAGUUGCCAUGGAUACCCAGGCCAGGAUGAAGGGCAUCCA
Molecule: long non-coding RNA, 370 nt
Organism: Scatophagus argus
Lineage: Eukaryota; Metazoa; Chordata; Actinopteri; Scatophagidae
Exons: 3
Source: RefSeq, a predicted model, not a curated record